RNAcentral lists this transfer RNA (83 nucleotides) under Hyaloperonospora arabidopsidis Emoy2. RNAcentral describes it as "Hyaloperonospora arabidopsidis tRNA-Tyr for anticodon GUA". It matches the Rfam family "tRNA". Rfam says of the family: Transfer RNA (tRNA) molecules are approximately 80 nucleotides in length. Their secondary structure includes four short double-helical elements and three loops (D, anti-codon, and T loops). The record is from Rfam by way of RNAcentral. Lineage: Eukaryota; Oomycota; Peronosporomycetes; Peronosporales; Peronosporaceae.
GAGAGGGUGGCUGAGCGGUUUAAAGCGGUAGUCUGUAAAACUAUUGUUGCAAGACAUCGUGGGUUCGAAUCCCACCCCUCUCA